ACGAACGCUGGCGGCGUGCUUAACACAUGCCAGUCGCACGGAAAGGCCCUGCUUUUGUGGGGUGCUCGAGUGGCGAACGGGUGAGUAACACGUGAGUAACCUGCCCUUGACUUUGGGAUAACUUCAGGAAACUGGGGCUAAUACCGGAUAGGAGCUCCUGCUGCAUGGUGGGGGUUGGAAAGUUUCGGCGGUUGGGGAUGGACUCGCGGCUUAUCAGCUUGUUGGUGGGGUAGUGGCUUACCAAGGCUUUGACGGGUAGCCGGCCUGAGAGGGUGACCGGCCACAUUGGGACUGAGAUACGGCCCAGACCCCUACGGGAGGCAGCAGUGGGGAAUAUUGCACAAUGGGCGGAAGCCUGAUGCAGCAACGCCGCGUGCGGGAUGACGGCCUUCGGGUUGUAAACCGCUUUCGCCUGUGACGAAGCGUGAGUGACGGUAAUGGGUAAAGAAGCACCGGCUAACUACGUG
This 467-nucleotide ribosomal RNA is filed under the name uncultured bacterium. RNAcentral's name for it is "partial 16S ribosomal RNA". It matches the Rfam family "Bacterial small subunit ribosomal RNA", at positions 29 to 507 of the family's 1533-position model. The record is from RNAcentral.